RNAcentral lists this ribosomal RNA (477 nucleotides) under uncultured bacterium. RNAcentral's name for it is "partial 16S ribosomal RNA". It matches the Rfam family "Bacterial small subunit ribosomal RNA", at positions 28 to 507 of the family's 1533-position model. The record is from RNAcentral.
GAUUAACGCUGGCGGCGUGCAUAACACAUGCAAGUCGAACGAUGAAACUUAGUAGACUUCUUCGGAAAGACACUAAGCGGUUUAGUGGCGAACGGGUGAGUAACGCGUGAGUAACCUGCCUUACACAAGGGGAUAGCCUUUGGAAACGAAGAAUAAUACCCUAUAAAACCAUAAAAGCACAUGCUAGAAUGGUCAAAGUGAUAGCGGUGUAAGAUGGACUUGCGUCUGAUUAGCUAGUUGGUGAGAUAAAAGCUCACCAAGGCAACGAUCAGUAGCCGGCUUGAGAGAGUGUACGGCCACAUUGGGACUGAGACACGGCCCAGACUCCUACGGGAGGCAGCAGUGGGGAAUUUUGCACAAUGGGGGAAACCCUGAUGCAGCGACGCCGCGUGAUUUAGAAGGCCUUCGGGUUGUAAAAAUCUUUUGUAUAGGAAGAAAAUGACAGUACUAUACGAAUAAGGUCCGGCUAAUUACGUG